RNAcentral lists this transfer RNA (71 nucleotides) under Loxodonta africana (African savanna elephant). It matches the Rfam family "tRNA". From Rfam's summary of the family: Transfer RNA (tRNA) molecules are approximately 80 nucleotides in length. Their secondary structure includes four short double-helical elements and three loops (D, anti-codon, and T loops). The record is from Rfam by way of RNAcentral. Lineage: Eukaryota; Metazoa; Chordata; Mammalia; Proboscidea; Elephantidae.
ACAUUGGUGGUUCAGUGGUAGAAUUCUUGUCUCCCAUACAGGAGACCCAGGUUCUAUUCCUGGCCAAUGCA